RNAcentral lists this ribosomal RNA (1459 nucleotides) under uncultured Bordetella sp. RNAcentral describes it as "partial 16S-23S ribosomal RNA intergenic spacer". It matches the Rfam family "Bacterial small subunit ribosomal RNA". The record is from RNAcentral. Lineage: Bacteria; Pseudomonadati; Pseudomonadota; Betaproteobacteria; Burkholderiales; Alcaligenaceae.
UUCGAUCAUGGCUCAGAUUGAACGCUGGCGGGAUGCUUUACACAUGCAAGUCGAACGGCAGCGCACGGACUUCGGUCUGGUGGCGCGAUGGUUAACGGGUGAGUAAUGACGUGAAUCGUGCUCACAGGGGAUAACUACGCGAAAGCGUAGCUAAUACCGCAUACUGCCCUUCGGGAAAGCGGGGACCUCGGCCCUCGCACCGUCAGAGCGGCUGAUAUCGGAUUAGCUUAGUUGGUGGGGUAAUCGGCUCACCAAGCGCGACGAUCCGUAUGCCGCCUGAGGACGACCAGCCACACUGACCGAGAUGUCGCCUGGUGGCUCCGCCGUGAGGCAGUGGGGAAUUUUGACAAUGGGGAAACCCUGAUCUGCGUCAUCCCGCGUGCGAUGAAGGCCUUCGUCAGGUGCAUCUUUUGGCAGGAAAGAAACGCGGCAUGUGAUAAUACCCGCGCAACUGACGGUACUGCAGAAUAAGCACCGGCUAACUACAUGCGCCAGCAGCCGUAAUAAUGGUAAGCGCAAGCGUUAAUCGGAAUUACUGGGCGUAAGCGUGCGCAGGUGUCUGGAAGAGGAUGCAGUCCCGUAGAGCUUAACUUUGGAACUGCAUUUUUAAUCACCGAGCUAGAGUGGCAUGAGGGAGCGUGAAAUCUGCGUGUAGCGCAGUGAACGCGGUGUGAGCGCGGAGGAACACCGAUGGCGAAGGCAGCCUCCUGGGAUGCAGCCAUCUACGCUCGCGCACGAGCGUGGGGAGUAAACAGGAUUAGAUACCCUGGUAGUCCACGCCUCUAAACGAUGGGCUAACUAGCUGUUGGGGCUUUCGGGCCUUGCAGCGCAGCUAACGCGCAGGGCAAGACCGCCUGGGGAGUACGGUCAAAGAUUAAAACUCAAAGCAUCUGAUGGGGACCGUGCACAAGCGGAAGACAUGUGGAUUUAAUUGAUGCAACGCGAAAACCUACCUACCCUUUGGACAUGAACUGCAGAACCUUAAAAGAGAUUGGAGCGCCUUAAGAGAACCGGAACACAGGUGCUGCGAAGGCUGCCGCCUGUGUGUCAGGAGAUGUUGCUAUCCCAACGAGCGGGCCAACCCUGUCAUUAGUUGCUACGAAAGGGCACUCUAUCGAGACUGCUGCGGACAAAUCAGACAUGGGAUGAUGUCAAGUCCUCAUGGCCCUUAUGGGUGGGCUUCACACGUCAUACAAUGGUCGGGACAGAGGGUCGCCAACCUGGCGAGGGGGAGUCAUAAUCCCAUGAAGAAACCCAUCAGCAGUCCGGAUCGCAGUCUGCAACCUGACUGCGUGAAGCUGAAAUCGCGAAUCGUGGAUCAGUGAUGUCGCGGUGAAUACGUUCCCGGUCUGCAGACACACCGCCCGUCACACCAUGGGAGUGUCACCAGAAGAGCAGCCUAACCGUAGAGGGAUUACUACGGUAGGAUUCAGAUUUUCAGUAAGUCGUAACAAGGUAA